UACGUAGGGGGCUAGCGUUGUCCGGAAUCAUUGGGCGUAAAGAGCGUGUAGGCUGCUCGGUAAGUCCGCUGUAAAAGUCAAAGGCUCAACCUUUGAAUGUCAGUGGAUACUGCCGGGCUAGAGUCCGGAAGAGGCGAGUGGAACUCCUGGUGUAGCGGUGGAAUGCGCAGAUAUCAGGAGGAACACCGGUGGCGAAGGCGGUUCUCUGGGCAUGACCUGACGCUGAGGAGCGAAAGUGUGGGGAGCGAACAGG
Molecule: ribosomal RNA, 253 nt
Filed under: uncultured bacterium
Lineage: Bacteria
Description: partial 16S ribosomal RNA
Rfam family: Bacterial small subunit ribosomal RNA
Source: RNAcentral